GACGAACGCUGGCGGCGUGCUUAACACAUGCAAGUCGAACGGAAAGGCCCUGCUUUUGUGGGGUGCUCGAGUGGCGAACGGGUGAGUAACACGUGAGUAACCUGCCCUUGACUUUGGGAUAACUUCAGGAAACUGGGGCUAAUACCGGAUAGGAGCUCCUGCUGCAUGGGGGGGGUUGGAAAGUUUCGGCGGUUGGGGCUGGACUCGCGGCUUAUCAGCUUGUUGGUGGGGUAGUGGCUUACCAAGGUUUUGACGGGUAGCCGGCCUGAGAGGGUGACCGGCCACAUUGGGACUGAGAUACGGCCCAGACUCCUACGGGAGGCAGCAGUGGGGAAUAUUGCACAAUGGGCGGAAGCCUGAUGCAGCAACGCCGCGUGCGGGAUGACGGCCUUCGGGUUGUAAACCGCUUUCGCCUGUGACGAAGCGUGAGUGACGGUAAUGGGUAAAGAAGCACCGGCUAACUACGUG
This 468-nucleotide ribosomal RNA is filed under the name uncultured bacterium. RNAcentral's name for it is "partial 16S ribosomal RNA". It matches the Rfam family "Bacterial small subunit ribosomal RNA", at positions 28 to 507 of the family's 1533-position model. The record is from RNAcentral.